RNAcentral lists this long non-coding RNA (635 nucleotides) under Bos indicus x Bos taurus (hybrid cattle). RNAcentral's name for it is "lncRNA (ENSBIXG00005009668.1)". Lineage: Eukaryota; Metazoa; Chordata; Mammalia; Artiodactyla; Bovidae. The record is from RNAcentral.
CUCCACUUCAAUUUACGAAUGAAAACACCCUUCACCUUUGCUGCUGUGAAUUUCUUAGAUACACAUGGUCAAGACAAUCUGAGAAUUAUGAGGCUCCAGGACCAAUUAGGGCUGUUUGUGUUGACGUAAAGUCUGGGGGAGUUUUUUUUCUUCCCUUUGCAAGUAUUUAUGAUACUGACAGAUGCAACAGGAAAAAAAAAAAUUCCCGAAUGAGAAUAAGCUUUGUGGGACAACGAGGAUAAGGAUUCAAGGUGAAGAGCAGCCCAGGGCUUUGUUUAAGCCACCAGAUCUAUGCGUGCUGCCACGUGACGUGAAGGUGGGGACACAGCCACUGCCACGGGUGCCAACACCCCCCAGGCGCACUGCAGAGGGGUGGUUGAAGCUGCACAGCAAACCUGCAGGCAAGGUGUUCCUACCAUUUCGCAGGAACCAGCAGAGGGACUGCCAACUCUUUGUCUUGUCAAGAAAGGACAAAUUUUAAAGUACCACUUACAACCACUGGCAUUUUGUACCAAACAAGAGACAUGUUGGCACCAAAAGCAAAGGAAAUCAACAGUCUUGGAAGUUUUUUAAAAUGGGAUCGUCCCCACUUUGUAAGUAUGUUUCUGCAUCUCCCAUGUCCCUUCCUAUUUGCU